This is a non-coding RNA of Oryctolagus cuniculus (rabbit), 1995 nucleotides long. Lineage: Eukaryota; Metazoa; Chordata; Mammalia; Lagomorpha; Leporidae. The record is from RefSeq and is a predicted model, not a curated record.
GGGCUUUUCUCGUUGGCUUCCUUCCUCCAAGUCCUCUCGCGGUCUGAGCGCUCGACUCUGCGCGGUGUAGUACUCCAUCAUCUGCGCGCACCACCUGCCGGAGUACAUCUUAGCUGCUUCCAAGUUUCGCCAACUACGAAUAAGGCUGCGAGGAACACGGCAUGAGGAAGCCACAGAGAGCACAGGACACGGGGCAGCGCGCGGGGAGGCCGCACCUGCAGCAGGCGGAGCAUGCGCCAAGAGACCCCUCGGCCCCCUGCCCGAGGGGCGCACGGUGCGAUCAGACGUGACUACAAAUGCCAUGGCGAAUUCAAGCUCAUCCACUACUUUCACACCACGGGUUAUUUUUUAAGAAUUAAAAAGAACCUUCAUUCACGACCUUUGCAAAACGCUAGAGAACCAGUUCAUUUUGGGAACAACCGCAUCAACAAUCAAGCAUCGCUUCUGCUCCUCCUGGAGGAACUGCACUCCCAAGUAACCAGGGCUGAUGGAAAACAUUUUUAAAUUUAGUGUUCCAGCUGAAAAUCAUUAUUUUCCAGCCCAUGGUGAGAAAUAGAUUACGGGAAAAAUCAGUAACGGUGCUGAAUCUGUUAGAUGAAAUGUCUGUGGACAACUUGUAAAGGGUGGGCCAUGCUGAUAACAACUGAAUCCAAUUUUCAAUCUUAGUAUCACAAACAGAGAUAACCAAACACUACAUACUUAUUGGUAGAAGCAAAUAACAUGAAAACAAAACCAGUCCUAAAACUGGUAAAGCUAUUUAUCAGCCACACACUUAUAGGAAACAGCAGGGACAGAGAGGCCUGUUAAAUGACACCACCAGGAAGCAAUGGGGAAAAAUCCAGAAUGUGAGGAAACCUACAGAACUGAGACCCUGAUUUACUGGCCACAUGAACUGAACUGGGAUCACAUAAUUUAGAAAAAAUAUAAGAGACCAACCAAAAGCACAACACACUGAACUUGAUUAAAUCCUGAUCCGAACAAACCUUCCAUAGUUUCCAUGAGAAUUUGAACUAAGACUGGAUACUGAUGACACGAAGGAAUUACUGCUCGUUUACAAGGUUUCACGGUUACGCAUCUUGGAGAAAAGGCGAGGGCAAGGAUGGAAGGCUCCAGAGCUGGGCCUACUUCAGAACAGCCUGAGACUCUGGGGGCACUGGGAGAAGCGGGGAUGACCAACUAGGAUUGACCUUCUUUACGAAAUACAAGACCAUCAAAAUCUACCUCAUAACACAUUUUAAGUGAAAUUAAGAGUGAUCCCAGGAAUCAAUCAAGCAUGCCUGCAGAGUUCAAUAAAGGGAAGAUUGCGGAUUAGACGCUCCCUUCAAAGAUGAAGACCACUCGUGGCAGCUGUGCCGACCAAGAGCCAACAGCACCAAGAGCGGAGCCGCUCAGCAGCAGGAGCACAAGGGACCCAGGCGGCACGGUGGGGGCGAGGGGAACCCCUACGUCACCAAUGCCAACACACUCCACCCAGAGGAGAGAGCCGGCCACUGAGAAAAGCCCCCACCAUCUCCUAAUGGUGCCCUUAGACUUCUGGGAGGUCCAGACGGUCUUCAGAAUGAAUUUGGAAAGGUGCAACCCUGUUUCGGAGGCCUCUGGCAUUGUAUGUGUUUCUACAAUAACCAAUUCUCUCCAAAUGGGUACCCCGUGUGUUAUUUUUGGUAACCUUUCCCCUACCUAGUGACCCAAGGUCACCUUCCCUGACAACUACUGGGUGAGAAACUGCUGACUCGGCCAUCUGGCGCUCUGCUGAGAGUCUCCCCCUCAGUGUUCAGCCUCGUAGCGGAGACUCAGGUUCAGACGACCACGUCCUACAUCAGAGUGCUUGGGUUUGCUUCCGGCUUCGGGCUCAUGCAGACGCUGGGAGGCCGUGGUGCUGGGCCAGCCACUUGAGUUCUGUCACCAUUGUGGGAGACCUGAACUGAGUUUCUGGUUCCAGCCUGGGCCCCCUGGCUGCUGUGGUCAGUACAGGGGUGAAUCAGCGGAUGGGAGCUG